Dalotia coriaria is the source of this 3548-nucleotide long non-coding RNA. RefSeq lists it as uncharacterized. The transcript has 3 exons. Lineage: Eukaryota; Metazoa; Arthropoda; Insecta; Coleoptera; Staphylinidae. The record is from RefSeq and is a predicted model, not a curated record.
ACAGUCUAGUUUAGUGUAGAUCGCGGGUCUCGUGCCUAUUGCAAUUCGCGCACAAGGUCACAUUCCAUCGACGCGCCGGCUAUGCGCAUCUAUUGCUUUCUUAUCACAAACUGCCGCAUCGUUGCUUGCACAGUUUGCAGCCAGUUUUGUGCCGGUCUCUGGUUGGUCCGGACGUAUUUUACGGGACACGUAUUGUUUGUUCGGUCUUCUAUGUUCCAAAUUUGCAUUAUAUUCGAUCAUCAAUUGACUAUUUAAUUUUAACUUGCGCGUUUAUUGUCCGACCGGUUUUGAUCGCGCGAAAGUGUAUAUUGCAACUCGCAUGGUCUCGGGUUGCUAGGUGAAUCGCCCCCAUAUAGAUUAAUUCAUCAUUAGGAUGACCCAUCGUGCUGGUUAUUUGCCGUGUCUACCGGAGUCCAUGAGUUGUGCAUUGCACUCGUUGUGCCUGUUAGUCCGAUAAGCUGUACACUGGUAAGUUCAUAAUUCAAUUAUAUUUUUUGGUCCAAUUUACAUUUGCUGUUUAUAAACAACGAACUACCUACCUGCAGGGCCGAUGAGACUGGGAUAAAUUCCCCGGGGCCCGGCUGAUCGCUCUUAAAUCGCAAUCACAAAAAAAUAGCAAAAAUUGACGAUUGCCGGAGCCCGCGGCUUUUUCCCGGGGCCCGCGCUGGUUCUCGACGGCCAUGUCUGUAUCUCCCUGUAUUGAAAUUUAUUGCAAGAAAAUUCCGUAACGCGAGUUAUAUUGAAAGUUGUGUGUGUGCGCCGUAGUAGGUACUCGUUGCUCUCGGAAUUAUAGUUUUUUUAGAGUAACACGCGAACGCGGUGUCAGAGUUAGUACGGAAUAAUUUUCACUGAUGCAUAAUUUAAUUCUGCAUUCCUCUGUAUCAAAAAUUAUUGCGAAGAAAUUCCGUAACGCGAGUUAUAUUGAAAGUUGUGUGUGUGCGCCGUAGUAAUCGUUGCGCUAGGAAUUGUAGUUUUUUUUAGUGUAACACGCGAACGCGGUGUCAGAGUUAGUUCUGAAUAAUUUUCCCAGAUGCGGAAUUGAAUCCUGUAUCACCCUGUAUUAAAAUUUAAUCCAAAGAAAUUCCGUAACGCGAGUUAUAUUGAAUGUUGUGUGUGUGCGCCGUAGUAGUCAUUGCGCUAGGAAUUGUAGUUUUUUUUAGUGUAACACUCGAACGCGGUGUUAGAGUUAGUUCGGAAUACUUUUCCCAGAUGCGGAAUUGAAUUCUGUAUUUCUCUGUAUUGAAAAUUAUUGCGAAGAAAUUCCGUAACGCGAGUUAUAUUGAAUGUUGUGUGUGUGCGCCGUAGUACUCGUUGCGCUUGGAAUUGUAGUUUUUUUUUAGUAGAACACGCGAACACAGUGUUAGAGUUAGCUCUAAAUAAUUUUCCCAGAUGCGUAAUUGUGACUCGUGUUUAGCGCACCUUACGAAGGUAGCGGUAGAAGUGACUCGUGUUCAGGGCACCGUACGAAGGUAGCGGUAGAAGUGACUCGUGUUCAGGGCACCCUACGAAGGUAUACAUAUUUUGCCUAUUUUAAUACUUUAUCUUAUAAGGAAUAUUUAAAUUAGUCGCGGUGUUGUAAACAUCAAUUAUUGAAUUAACUAAGGUAUACAGUAAACUUAUACGAAGACAAUUGAAAACAAUAAAUUAUUUAUUUGUAUUGGUAAAUUACAAAUUCCUGUUUAUCUUCAUCCUUAUUGCAUCUCAAAACCAAUAUAUUCUAUUCUUAUGCCUAGAAAUAUUGAAAGUAAAAGUAGAUUUCGGGUAUGUGUGUUAUUUCAAUAUUGUGAAUUUUUACUUUCGUCUUCUCAACUACGUGUUUACCACUACGUUUGUGUAUAAACAACUUUUUUUGUUCAACUGACGCUACGUACGCUAUCGCACAACCUGGUUUCGCACACCGCACACGGCAGUAGUUUCACCGCGUGGUCCGCGAACGCGUGUCUCUAACCGCCACGCGUUUUCAGACUUCAAUUAUUCAAUUAAUCGUCGUGCAUUCUUUUCGUUAUCAGCAAAAUAUUCGUAUCGAGCAUGUGUGCUUGUUUUGUUUGUUUGUUUGUUAUGGCGGUUAGAGUGUUCUUAAGUGAGAAAUAAGUGUCCGAUAAUCUCUGCGCGAGUUUUCAGUUGAUAAGAUAUAUGCCUGGAUCUAAAAUUUCUUUUUCAAUGCACUGGUAGGUGUUUAAUCACUUUUUUACGCGGAAAGUUAAGACGGUUUAACUUAAAUUGAUUAUUCCAUUUGAGGGAUAUUAAUUUUGCAGAUUACAAACACAUGGUAGCAUUUUUAUCAGAAUUCUUAGUCCUGUUUCCGAACAUAACAUGCAUAAUUUAAUUAUUACAAACACUGUGUUAAAAAAUAUCUGAGGAUUAUUAAAAUGACAAUAUUCAUGUGGUCGACCACGCUCACUUUGCCGUCGACCGUCGGCUCGUUCCUCUUUUCGCUGAACGUUUUUAAUCGAAUUUCACUCCUUAUCAUCAUUAAAUUAAAAAGUUUCUUGUUGAUCUAAUAAAAUCUUAUACCAUGAAUAGUUUUUCGUUAUUUUUAUCGUAUUUACCUACUGUACUCGUAUAACCACGCGUCGUUGCUUGCCGUCUGCUGAUUUGGAUGUUUUCCGCCUGAUGUUCUAUCAAUUUAUGAUGAUGCUUCACCCGUCGGUUACUUUAUGCAGUUGAUGCUAUCAACUGAUAAAUAUAUACACAAUAUAUUAAAAUGUAAGUGUUUUAUUCUUGUUGCAACUUUUUUACUUAACUUUUCCGAUCGUUUUCGGGUAAAAUCUUUGAAUUUAUGUUAAAAUAUAGUUGUUUCGGUAUAAAUUUCUCUUGUCACGAUGUGAAUGUUGAUCAUAUUUGUAGUUUUUAAAACUUUCCUUUUGUAACACUUAUAUAUUUGUUUUCCUAACAGUACUUUAGUAAAUCGUCUUUAUUUGUGAGUUUUGAGUGUUCUUUGUUUUAAACUUAGAAUUUUCCUUUUGGAACACCCUGUAUAUUUGCUUUUCUUUGUGUCCGUGAAAACUUUCCUUCAGUUGUGGUUUUAGAGAUUUUUUUGCAUUUUAAGUUUUUUUGUAACACCCUGUUUAUUAGUUUCCCGGAGCAUCGGGUGAAAACAAGCAAUAUUUGUAGUGUUUAGAUGUUUUCCUCUUUGAUGGUUGAAUUUUCUAUUUGUGACACCUUGUAUAAUCGUUUUUCUUCACAUCCCUGAAAAUUUUGCUUUGAGUGUUAUUAGAAUUUAACUUCUUGCACUUUGAAUUUUCUUUUUGUAACGCCCUGUAUAUUUGUUUCCCAGGGUAACCGUGGAAAACUAGCGAUAUUUGAAUGUUUAGAUGUUUUCCUGUCUGCACUUAAUUUUCUGUAACCCCCCGGUAUAUUUGUUUCCAUUUUCAAUCACGAUGAAAAUUGACUUUGCUAAUUGCUUUAUCCUGCUAGAACUUCACUUAGUGAUACGCGAUUGUUUGCGCGGCUAAGCAGGUCGUAAUUCCAAUUUCAAUAUGGCGGCAUGAAUUCAGUUGACUUGUAUUAUUUUACAUUGUAUUUAUUAAUAAAGAAAUGUAAAGAAA